GGUCGGCCCCCGUCCGCUGCGGAUUGGCCCAGAGCGCUGCCCAUCACGCACAUGUAAACACCUUGGCCCUCAGCCAUUCCUAUAAAACCAAUUACGGACCUCGGGGCUCCAGCAGUUUCCAGGCUCCCCUCGGCGGGGCUGAAUGAUCAAAACUGGUGCGCGGUUGGGUGGGAUGGGCAGGCGAGAAGCCCGUUUCCCUUGCCCCAGCCUGCGGGUCCCUCCCCUGAAAUGCGGUGUCAGAUGGUUACUCGUUGAUAUUUUGGAGAGGCCGCGGCGGCGGGCAGCGCAAAAUCCUUUCUGGGUUGAGUCUCUGCGAGCUGCCCGCUGCAGAUCUUACCAGGCUGGGGGCGCAGGAAGCGCGCGGACCCUGCGAGAGGGAGA
This is a non-coding RNA of Castor canadensis (American beaver), 381 nucleotides long. The record is from RefSeq and is a predicted model, not a curated record. NCBI's taxonomy places the organism in Eukaryota, Metazoa, Chordata, Mammalia, Rodentia, Castoridae.